Molecule: ribosomal RNA, 549 nt
Filed under: uncultured bacterium
Lineage: Bacteria
Description: bacterial SSU rRNA
Rfam family: Bacterial small subunit ribosomal RNA
Source: RNAcentral
UAGGGAAUCUUCCGCAAUGGGCGAAAGCCUGACGGAGCAACGCCGCGUGAGUGACGAAGGUCUUCGGAUCGUAAAACUCUGUUAUUAGGGAAGAACAAAUGUGUAAGUAACUAUGCACGUCUUGACGGUACCUAAUCAGAAAGCCACGGCUAAAUACGUGCCAGCAGCCGCGGUAAUACGUAGGUGGCAAGCGUUAUCCGGAAUUAUUGGGCGUAAAGCGCGCGUAGGCGGUUUUUUAAGUCUGAUGUGAAAGCCCACGGCUCAACCGUGGAGGGUCAUUGGAAACUGGAAAACUUGAGUGCAGAAGAGGAAAGUGGAAUUCCAUGUGUAGCGGUGAAAUGCGCAGAGAUUUGGAGGAACACCAGUGGCGAAGGCGACUUUGUGGUCUGUAACUGACGCUGAUGUGCGAAAGCGUGGGGAUCAAACAGGAUUAGAUACCCUUUUAGUUCACGCCGUAAAUGUUGUGUGAUAACUGUUAGGGGGUUUCCGCCCACUAUUGUCGCACAUGAGGCAUUAAGCAGUCCGCCUGGGGANCAUGACCGCAAGUCC